This is a small nucleolar RNA of Dioscorea cayenensis subsp. rotundata (Guinea yam), 107 nucleotides long. Lineage: Eukaryota; Viridiplantae; Streptophyta; Magnoliopsida; Dioscoreales; Dioscoreaceae. The record is from RefSeq and is a predicted model, not a curated record.
AUCCCAUGUUGAGGAAACUUCCUCAACAAUUCCUUAUACCUUUUCCAUGCCUAGUACAAAGUUUCAGACUGCUUAUGUUAGAAAGAAGAUAUGUCAUUUCUGAGCUU